Long non-coding RNA from Trichomycterus rosablanca, 6770 nucleotides. RefSeq lists it as uncharacterized. The transcript is spliced from 3 exons. The record is from RefSeq and is a predicted model, not a curated record. Lineage: Eukaryota; Metazoa; Chordata; Actinopteri; Siluriformes; Trichomycteridae.
AGAGCAGGAGCAGAAAUGGCGUAGCUCGGCUGCGGUGUAGUCGGACUGUGGGACGGUAAGAGGAGGAUAAAGAAAUCAACAACCUGGUUAUAAACAGCCGGGAAAUGAAGUUCAACUCGUGUGCUUUACUAUUGAAGUGAACUUUUGGACAGGAAAGAAGUCUUUCCAUGUGCUGCUAUCUGCUAAGAGAGGGAUUUCAUCAUGCCUGGGGAUAAGACUGCCAAAAAAGCAUUAGCAGAUGAAAAGUGGGUCGACGGCAUGCUGAAUCUUCAUCUCUGGCUUCCUUCAGAUCUGAUAUCCAUCAUGCCUGGGUAGGAUUUCAUGUGCCAUUUUGCCCUCACAGUUGGAGUCAUGGAGGCUGGAAUCAGUCGUGAAGUCCAAAGCAUCUUUAUUUCCUUUGUUUAUCCACCUACACUAUAGUUUAAAAAGUCAAGAUCCCUAGAUUAAUAAUGUGAAUUAUCAGUACUCAUGAUGUAAGAAAUUUGAAGGACCAAAAAUUCUCUGAUAUUUUGAAUAUGUAUACCUUGGGGGGGUGUGGGCAGGGGGUAUCACGCUCUCUAACCAGUAAUAUGUCACGUUGCACUAAAUGGCAAUAGAAAGAACAUUAACAGGUAUGUCAUUAUUCUGUUGAUCUGAAUUGAUCUAGAUUAGCUAAAUGUGUUUUAAGCUCAUUAUGGAAUCCAUAAAAGAAGUCUCACUAAAGAGAUAUAAUUUGGUUAAAGCUUUUUAAUUAUGUUCUAUAAUAUAACUAAUAUUAAUUAAGCUUAGAUAUAAAAUGAGAUGGUGUAGCACUGAGAGCUUGUGGCUGCAGCUACAUACAAAAAUUAUUAAAUAACUAGAAAAUCUAACACUAACGUUGAUCAGAUUUAUUAAUUUUCUUUAUUAUUUUUUUAUUUCACAUUUUUAGACAUUUAUUCACAGUAAAGAGACCAGAUUGUUCUCCAGAUUGAUGUUUAAUUAUAAUGUAAUUGGUGUAAUUUGGACAACUAUGUUUACAGUCAACAUUGUCUCAGCAGUUUUACAGAUACUAGGAUUAACCCCCCCCUAAUGGGCAGCCAAGGAAGGAACCAGACUUAUCAGGGACCUCCACUCUUCUUGGAUAGCCUAGAGAAUAUUGGGAAUGUACAUUUGGUUUAAUUACAUUAGCUAAUAUUUUGUACUAUCCUUAAUUAUUGUGGGCCACUGGGACCUGGUUCUGUCCAAGCACAUUUGAACAGUACUUUCCCCAGUGGACUAGCUAAUUGUCAGAUUAUUUUUUCCUCUUAACUUCUAAAGAGUCAGGAUAUAAUAAUGCAAGAUCCUAAGCAAAUAAACAGUGCAUCUGUAUAAUCCAGAUAGUAUAAAAAGUGUUAUAUUUAGUACUACCAUAUAUUCUGGACUAUAAGCUGUAUUUUUACUGCUAUACAUACUGUUUUAUGCAAAAGUUCAGACACCACUGGUAAAGUUUACAAAAUAAGUGAACACAUCAUCCACAGGAAACAAACGUCUUUGCUUUUUAGGAAAACGGUAGCUCAGCAGAAAUGUUACUGGGCUAGUAAUCAGGAGCUUGCUGGUUGCCACUAUUGGACCUUAUUUUGAGGCCCCUAACCCUUGAUUGCUUGGAUGGUAUUUUGUCACAAUUAUGUCGCAAUAAAAGCAUCCACUAAAUGCUACAUCUUAAUGCUUAGUUAUUGUUUAUUUACUAAAUGUAACAUUUUGACAACAAGUUAAACUUGGACAGGGGUGUACAUACCUUUGCAUUGUUCAGUUUUGCUUUGCUUCUAUUAAGGUUUAUACAUUAAUUUAAAUCAACUUGUUCCUGAAUUAAUGUUAAAUGGUUAAAAGCAAGAUUUUUCACUAAAUACAGUAUUGUAUAGAAUAUACAAACCCUGUUUAUAGAACCCUGUUUGGGACAUUUUGCAAAUGCGAGUAAAAAAAAGAAUCUGAGAUUUGUUCAUGCUCUUGAAUCUUUUAUUUAACAAAAGUAGAUAGAAAAGAUGUCAAAUGUUUUCACUGAUUAACUUCAUUGUAUUUUGUAAAUAUAAACACAUUUAGAAUUUCAUACCUGCAACACAUCUGAAAAAAGUUGGAACGGGCAGAAUAAGAGUUGAUAAAAUGUUCAAUUUACACGGUGGGAAAACAUUCCACAAGUGUGUGAACUGCUAACUUCCCCAGUGUGGCUAGACACAGAGUGCAUGUGCUUGACUGGCCUUGUGGAACAUUUCCCCACCAUGUAAAUUGAAUAUUCUAUAAUUUUUUUUUACCUAAUUUGCCCGUUCCAACUUUUUUCAAAUGUGUUGCAGUUGUAUCCUAGUGGUUAAGGUGUUGGACUAGUAAUCAAAAGGUCGCUUGUUCAGGCCCCACCACUGCCAGGUUACUUAUGUUGGGCCCUUAAGCAAGGCCCUUAACCCUCAAUUGCUUAGACAAUAUACUGUCACAGUUCUGCAAGUCGCUCGCCGAAGCGUCUGCUAAGUGCCAAAAAUGUAAAUGUUGCAGACCUGAAUCAAUGAAGUUGAUCAGUAAAAAUAUUCCUUUCUUUUCUAUGUGUCUGUUAAAUAAAGAUUCUAGCGAAUUAAAUAAACCACAGUUUAAAAUUUAACAAAAUGUCUUUACCCCUUUUAUGAAUUGCAUUUUGCAGUAUAGUGUGUGUGUGUGUGUGUGUGUGUGUGUGUGUGUGUGUGUGUGUGUGUGUGUGUGUGUGUGUGUGUGUGUGUGUGUGUGUGUGUGUGUGUGUGUGUGUGCCAGUCGUUUAGCUUUGACGUUGAAUGAGAUGAUUUAGAAGUGAUUAUGCUAGAUGACUGAGAGAUUAGAGAAUGGAAUGGAUCAGCGGGGUGUGUGGUUUGCACUUAAUGAUGAAUUUUGACGUCCUCGGACGCGGGGAUCGUGCAAUAUGAUAAUGGCUUUUUUGUCUUGUUUCGAGAUAAAUGUGUAUAUUGUACAAACAAGUGACGAGUUGUUCGUGCGACAAACAACAAAAUCACCAAUGUCUUCCAUUAAAUGAUGUAUAGUUUUCAUCCGCCUACUUUUGUAGCGGGAUUUUGUCGUGCCAACAUUAUAUGUGGCCAUGCAUGAGUGGAACUGAUGCUUGCAGAGUAGUUGUAGUGACAGUAUAUAAUCCUAAUGCAUAUUAGCAAAUAGCGGGUCAGGCUAGUUAGCUUUAUUUAGCUUUGAGACUAUAGGGCUUUGGGUGAAAUGGAGAAAGUGCAUUUGUUGUAUUUAUUAUGUGGUCUUUCCUUGCUUUGUCUACAUCACUUCUUCUUAUAGACAUGAUUGCUUACCUUAAACAGUCCAGAUUUAGUUUAUUGUCUGAAUUAGCUUUUCUGAAAAUAGCAUAGCAUAGCUAAAACGCAUGACCGUUGUGUUGUCUGGGUACAGUCUUCUUUUGUAAAGUGAUAAAAGACAAAAGCUGAUGCUUUGUAUUAAAAAUUAGACUUUAGACUUAGUAUUUUUUUUCUGAUUAAGUACUAAUCCCCUUAACACGAAUUAGCUAGCUAAGUUGACAAAACAUGACAAGCAAAUCGCCACCUAACUUGCUAGGUAAUUAUAGGCUUUUAAUAAGACUAAAAUAUUUAAAAAGGCUGAAAAACUCAUUUAAAUAAUAAAAGGAUUUAAUAAACAUAUUUCCCAGCUUACAUUUUGCUAACUAUCUUUACCAGCCUGACUGAUAGUGUUGGGACUUAGCUAACAUGCUGCUCCUCGGUUAGCUGUUUCUAUCAUUACUGCUUUAAUUUGGAGGAUUUAUUCAGCCAAAAUACUAAAUGCAGGAUGUAAAAAGCUUGAGUAUGUAGUAGCAAUUAAGUAGCACUGAGGCAUCUGAACUAUGUAGGAGACACAUUAUAGGUCUAGGUAACGUGUACUUAUAUACAGUACACAUUAGCAUAUAUAGCCUGAUAGUGAUCAAAAUAUUUUAAUGUAAAUAAAUACCUCAAUGACUGGAAUGCAAAGUCUAUUUUUUAGAAUCCACUUACAGAUAUGCAAGCCAUAACUGCACAUUACAUUAGAUAUUCAGUAUGAGGGUCCAACAAAAAUCUGUUGCUUUGUCAGUGUCUAGCCGUCUUUACAAAAUAAUUUCAGCGCCGCAGGUUAGUUCGGGGACUGGCAGCAUACAGCAGUUUAGGGUUUCACAACCAAUAUCUCUGACUGGGCUACCUGGGGUCAUUCUGCUUAAUAUUUCUUUCUAGUUUGGCAGGGAGGAGCAGGUUAUAUUCCAAAUCUCAGUGACAGUUCUGUCACAGUACCCAUUUUAAUUAGUGCCAUUUUGAUUUGUUGACAGUUUAAAGGGAUUGUUUAAUGUCUUUCUCACGGUGCUUGGGUGGCCUAAUGUGUUAGCCCACAACCGCUGAGAUUUUUAGCUUUCAAGCUCUCGAGUUGUACUGUCUCGGCUGUACUGUCGACCUGGUCAAACCAAAAUGAGCAUGUGGCUCUCACAGGUCAUGGCAGUAGAGGAGUUGUAAAUAAAUAACUUGAAAGACGUGUGUGUGUGAUGGGGGCUGGGUGAAUGUUCUGUGGACAGUUCUUACCAUACUGAUUGACCUUUUACUGAGAUGGAUUAUUUUCAUUUAAUGUUCAUUAAUUUCACUGCUUUUUAUCCUGGGUCAGGGGUGCAGUACAGUAACACACCCCUGACAGGAUGCCAAUCCAUCUCAGGGCCUCGUCCCCAACUCCCCCAGACAUAGCUAACCAUGUCUAUAGGACGCUUGACCAGCUAAUACAACCACUGGGGAUCUUGGCUGUACUAGGUUAGUGUACAGAUGGCCUAUGUAUCGUACAAAUUGUUGACUCUUAAGUGAGUUUUUAGGGUCAUGUGUACCCUUUGAUAGAUGCAUCUUUUUUUUUUUUUUACAUCAACUAGAUAACUAGAUCUUGCUUUAAUUUAAAAUGUGAAUAUCAGGCAGUGAAUGAGUGAAAGUAGUUUAGGGCUGAACACCAGUAUGCUGUACAACUACUGUUCCCAUUUUGACAUUGUUGGACCCUCAUGAUUUUAGAAGCAAUAAUAAUAUUAUUAUGCAUGAACUCUAGUGCCAGAAUUGUGUAUUGUAGAAUAAGUGUAGCAUACUUGUAACUGGUGUGUCCACUGCAGUGGCUGUUCAUUAUUUUUAAUGUUUAUAAUCUUAAUCAGUGUAGCAUUUUGAGAUCAGUUCUUUGCAGCAGUUCUACAUUCAUGUGUCAGUUAAACCAAAAAUAUUUCAGAAUGUAGUGAUGAGGCUGGAUAUUUCUGGCAGCAAAAAGAAAGAAAAUGCUUGAGAAUUAGCUAAUGUAGCGACGGUUCUAUAAAUACACUGCAUGAGGUUUAAUAUCGUUCAGAUCUUGUAUAGAAUUAAGCAAUAGGACAGGUGGGAUGGACAAUUUAAAAUGUUUUAAUGCAGAACUAAAACUAUUUCAUAUACCACAGAAGUUUAUCGCAUUGUUUUUCAAAUACUGUAUAUCAGUGGGGUUUUUUUUAUGGGAAUGCAGGAAAUAUAAGGUAGCCACUGCAUGGUAGAAGUUGGUACCAAAUGUGUUGUGCUGCAUGCAAUAAUAAAGCUUUGCUUGGAAAAAAUGUAGAUCUUGCAAAAUAUAAAAGACAUGAAAGGAAAAUUAAGCAAGAGGUUACGUCAGUAUUCCUUCAGUUUAAUCCUGAUUUUGUUGUUUUGCAUUUGUUCUUGAUUUGUUCUAUGGAAGAUAUGUGUAUAUAUUUUUGUUUUUAAUGUUUCACCUGUUUCAUCCCUGAAAUGGAUAAAAUGAAAUAUUAAUGACAAGUGAUUUUAUAAAUAUUUUGAUAUGUUUUAUCUGACAAGAAUUGGGUUCCGGUCUCACUGUCAAUCUAGCAACAUCAGCCUUUCUUGGGUCCCUUCACUUGGGCCCAUGUGGUGGCGCAGCGGGAUAUUCCACUAGCACACCAGCACCGAGUUUCUGAACUCCUCAGUUCUCUGUGUUGCCACCAGUCGGCUGGGCGCCAUCUAGCGGGCAUAAUUGGCAGUGCCUGCAGCAGAUACUAAUUGGACACCUGAUCUGCAGCGUGGCGGCCGGACUAUGUGUGGGUGGGAUCUUCAUACGCUGUGUAAGGACCCUGAUUGGCGGAAGAGACACCUGUGCAGAAUGCAGGGCGAGAAGAGGAGGACUGUGCACGUGUCUGCUCGGAUGCAAUCUGGUAUCUCUCAGCAGCGGAAGACAAAAUGAGCGUGCUAAAUUGGAAGGAAAAUGGGGAGAAAAUGCAUAAAAAAAAUAGAAAACACAAGAGCUCUCUGCAUUAUCAGUGGUUAAGCCAUGAUCAUUGUAAACAUGUAUAUCUGACUUACAUGUUAAGGGUAAACAGCAUGCUGUGAUGGGACGAAAACAACACUUGCAAAUAUUACCAGGAUUAUUUGAUUUUGUAAAAUUCAAAUUUCUGGAGGGACUGAAUGUCAAUUAAUUAAUCAUUAUUUAAUUAAUAAUCUACUGAAUACAUAAUUAUUGUUUAAUAUCAUACAUUUUUUUUUACAGUUUUUAUGUGCCAUUUAGCAGGAUAAAGCAUUGUAAGGAUCUGACUGGUUGUUGAUCAUAAAGUAACCAAUCAUUAUAGUAGGUUAACUAUAUUAAAAUCCAAUACAUGCGUUGUAAGGGCGUCAAUAAAUCAUGUUACAUGUGUAUACAUUAUUUUUGGUUGUAAUUUACAUGGUUACUUGUAUCACAGGUUGGGAACACUGUACGCUUGGUUAAAUCUAUGCACUACCGAUGCGCUAGCAUGCUAAAAUGAACUUAUUUUGUAAUGAAUUAAGAAAAAAAUGUAUCAAAAAAUAGCAAUAAAAACAGCAUGGUGCCAAUCUUACAAA